Molecule: non-coding RNA, 496 nt
Filed under: Streptomyces gancidicus BKS 13-15
Lineage: Bacteria; Bacillati; Actinomycetota; Actinomycetes; Kitasatosporales; Streptomycetaceae
Description: Bacterial large subunit ribosomal RNA
Rfam family: Bacterial large subunit ribosomal RNA
Source: Rfam by way of RNAcentral
CGUGAUUCCGGGAGUAGUGGCGAGCGAAACCGGAUGAGGCCAAACCGUAUGCGUGUGAGACCCGGCAGGGGUUGCGCAUGCGGGGUUGUGGGAUCUCUCUUGACCAGUCUGCCGGCUGGUCGACGAGUCAGAAACCGUUGAUGUAGGCGAAGGACAUGCGAAAGGUCCGGCGUAGAGGGUAAGACCCCCGUAGUCGAAACGUCAGCGGCUCGUUUGAGAGACACCCAAGUAGCACGGGGCCCGAGAAAUCCCGUGUGAAUCUGGCCGGACCACCCGCUAAGCCUAAAUAUUCCCUGGUGACCGAAAGCGGAUAGUACCGUGAGGGAAUGGUGAAAAGUACCGCGGGAGCGGAGUGAAAUAGUACCUGAAACCGUGUGCCUACAAGCCGUGGGAGCGUCGGAACACAGCUUGCUGUGUUCUCGUGACUGCGUGCCUUUUGAAGAAUGAGCCUGCGAGUUUGCGGUGUGUUGCGAGGUUAACCCGGGUGGGGUAGCCG